GAUGAAGAACGUAGCGAAAUGCGAUAAGUAGUGUGAAUUGCAGAAUUCAGUGAAUCAUCGAAUCUUUGAACGCACAUUGCGCCCCUUGGUAUUCCAUGGGGCAUGCCUGUUCGAGCGUCAUCUACACCCUCAAGCUCUGCUUGGUGUUGGGCGUCUGUCCCGCCCCCGCGCGUGGACUCGCCCCAAAUCCAUUGGCAGCGUUCCUUGCCCCCUCUCGCGCAGCACAUUGCGCUUCUCGAGGGCGGCUCCGGGACGCGAUCCAGCAAGAUGACCACCGUCUUUGACCUUGGAUCAGGUAGGGAUACCCGCUGAACUUAAGCAUAUCAAUAAGCGGAGGA
Molecule: unclassified non-coding RNA, 338 nt
Filed under: soil metagenome
Description: partial contains 5.8S ribosomal RNA, internal transcribed spacer 2, and large subunit ribosomal RNA
Rfam family: 5.8S ribosomal RNA (bases 1-120)
Source: RNAcentral